UUUUUAAUAGUUAUUUCCUCAAUACAAUUUUUUUUCUACUGUACAGCAUGGUGACCCAAUCAUACAUACAUGCUCACAUUCUAUUUCACACAUUAUCGUGCUCCACCAUAAGUGACUAGACAUAGUUCCCAGUGCUACACAGCAGGAUCUCAUUGCUAAUCCAUUCCAAAGGCAAUAGUUUCUAUCUAUUUACCCCAAGCUCACCACCACCCCACUCCCUCCCCCUCCACCUUGGCAACGACAAGUCAAUUCUGCAAGUCCAUGAUUUUCUUUUCUGUGGAAAGGUUCAUUUGUGCCUUAUAAGAUUCCAGAUAUAAGUAAUACCAUAUGGUAUUUGUCUUUCUUUUUACUUCAUCAGUAUGAGAGUCUCUAUUCAUCAUGUUGCUGCAAAUGGCAUUAUUUCAUUCUUUUUUAUGGCUGAGUAGUAUUCAUUGUGUAUAUAUACCACUUCCUAAUCCAUCAUCUGUCAUGAACAUUUGGGUUGUUUCCAUGUCCCCGCACCCAUGGCAUAUGGAGGUUCCCAGGCUAGGGGUCCAAUUGGAGCUGCAGCUGCCAGCCUACACCACAGCCACAGCGAUGCGGGAUCUGAGCUGCAUCUGUGACCUACACCGCAGCUCAUAGCAAUGCUGGAUCCUUAACCCACUGAGCAAGGCCAGGGAUUGAACCUGUAUCCUCAUGGGUGCUAGUUGGGUUCGUUAACCUCUGAGCCACGAUGGGAACUCCAAGGAGGCUGAUCUUAAUGACAAGUUUCAGCAGAACUUUGGGGCCUAAGGUCCUCAGAGCCUCACUGGAAAUUUCUCAUGUGUCCCCAUUCCAAUUUUCAGGGUCCUACUCUUCCCAAUCAAUGAAUUGACUUUAACGUUAGAGAUCCUAUAAGGCUGUAAUUCAAUUUGCUUUUUUAGUUCAGCCAUGCACAGAAUUAAACUUUGGGCACAGUUUUAGAAAGACCUUGUGGCUAUAGGAUUCAAGUGUUUCACUUACGUUUUCUUGUCCUUUACCCAGACUUUGAGAUGAGAAUUUAAGGCCCUGAGCUUAUCACUUUCUUUCUUCAAAUUCUUCAGUGCACUCUGAUACAACUAAUUAACCCCUUUAUACAACAAAUUUUCACUAAAAUAUGGCAGCAGCUAAUUAUUCAAAAUUUUCCUUCUACAGAUGAUUUCAUGUGGUAAUUUAAGUCACUGCAAUCCAUGGACUUCCAGCUUCCCCUUUAUGAUAAGCAACAUUAAUUUUAACCUAAUCAGAUUGAAGAUAGAUGAUAGAUUUCUGUACUCAAGUUUCAGUUACCCUGGAUCACUUCUGAUACCAAUAACAUAUUUAUGAGGUUAAAGAAGGGAAGCAGAACUACUGUAAGUUGUGAGAUAAGAUACUUGUAGUGAUUAAAAUGUACAGAAUUGUGGGCAGAUUGGGAAGGACAUUCUAGGAGAGAAGUUGGCAGGUCAGAAGCUGGCAGAAGUUGCCCAGCUGCCAAAUGGAACUCUGAACGGAAGAAUCACAGGAUCUAUGAGAAGGAGUGCCCUGCAUAACUUCUACCUCUGCCAUGAUGAUGGGCCUGGAGCAGCAGAUGGUCAACAGAGUUAGCCACCAAAGAAAGCUGGGUGUGGACCAGAGGAGAGCAGGUGCAAUUUAGAACCUAUUGGUACCUCUGUGUACAUCAGACACCAUGUCUAACAAAUGACCUUCAGAGAACCAAGGCUCUUUCUUCUACUUUUCCAGUCUUGAAAUUCUUUUAGCCAGUGCUAACUAGGAACCAAAUAGGAAGGAGGAAAUGGACCUAUAAUUUGAAGAGUUGACUCAAUUCAGGCAACCAGAGCACAGGCUGUAAUGACAUCAUAGAAGAAAAAUAUAGCCACAAAAAAUCGUGUAUGUAUAAUAUAAAAAUGCCUGAGAGCCAAUAAAAAAGUAGACUUGAACAGACACUUUACAAAAAAAUAUGUCAAAAUGAUUAACUGGAAAAAUGUUGACCCUCAUAAGUAAACAGGAAAACAUGAAUUAAAAUCAAAUGAAAUGCCACCAAACCCCAACAAGAUUGGCAAAAAAAUUAACUACCAAAUAUUGGUGGAGAUGUGUACAUAGCAAUAGGAACACUCAGAUUAUACUGGUGGGUGUGCAAAUUAGUGCAACCUCUUUGGAAAAUGUUUAGCAUUAUUUUAAAACAUCUGAAGUUGUGAGUACAUUUUUCAGUAAUUCCUAAGUAUUUUUCCCAAAGAUAUUUAUGUACGUGUGUAUCAGUUUACACAUACAAAAAUGUUCUUGGAAGCAUUGUUCAUACUAGCAAAGAUUGGAAACAACCCAAAUAUCUAUCAACAGUAAACCGAUAUACUGUAGUAUAUUCUGAUAAUGGCAUACUGUACAGCAAUAAAAAGGAGAAAGUGACAGCUGCAUAUACCACCACCGCUGAAUCUUUGUAAUUUUUUUCUUUUUUUGUCUUUUUUUGCCUUAUUGGUGCCACACCCAUGGCACAUGGGGGUUCCCAGGUUAGGGGUCCAAUCAGAGCUGCAACCACCCAUCCAGGCACAGCCACAGCAACGCCAGAUUCGAGCUGUGUCUACGACCUACACCACAGCUCAGAGCAACGCCAGAUACUCAACCCACCGAGCGAGGCUAGGGAUCGAACCCGCAACCCCAUGGUUCCUAGUUGGAUUUGUUUCCGCUGUGCCACGAUGGGAACUCCUGAAUCUUUUUAAUUUUAUAAUUUUUUUUUCUUUUUGGCCACUCAUGCAGCGUGAAGAAUUUCCUGGGCCAGGGAUGGAAUCUGCACCACAGCAGUGACAACACUGGACCCUUAACCCACUGCACCACCAGGGAACUCCAAACAUGGGUGAAUCUUAUACAGAUAGUGCUGAGUAAAAGAAACAAGUCAAAAGUAUAUAUACACUGUUGUUCCAUUUCUUUAAUAUUAAAAAGGUAAAAAUGUAUAUAAAUGCAUUAUUGAGUGGCAAAAUCAAAAAAAUUAAAGACAUGAAAAUAUACCAUAUACAUUAAGAUAAUGGUUACUGCUGGGGGGGGAGGAAAUGUAUGUGAUUGGACUGGGAUAUCUGGAAGGCCUCUGGACUUGCUUCCAAUUUCAUAUGAUUUAAUAAAUUUUAAUUUUCUGUAUGUAGGAGAGUUUGCAGUCAGAGUUGUAAGUCUGGAGCUUGAAUUGUCCUCUGGAGGUUAAUUUGAGAAUCAUCACCUCUGAGGUGCAGUUAGUCAAGGGAACUCAUGUGAUGUGAUAAGAUAAAGAGAAGAGAGGAAGCCCAGACUGGGUUCUGAGGAGCAUUAACAGAUGCCUUUUGGCAGGAAAACCAGCCAAGGAAAUGGAGAAGAGCAGCCAAUGAGUAGGAAGGUCUGGUGUCUCUUACUCCGAGACAGAAGAAUUUUUCUAAAAGUAGAUAAUGGUCACCUAUGAUAAGUGUUUCUGAGUAAAAUAAGCACAGAGGAGUGGGUUAUUUUGACAAGGGGCAUUUCAGGAGAAUGGUGGAGUAAGAAAGCAUUUGGAACAACUUCAAGAAUUCUGCAACAUGGUUGAAUUGAAAAUUUUAAAAUGCUUACGAAGAAGCCAAGGUUACACUGAUUGCCUGAUUGUUGUCUUCUAAAUUCCCAGUAGGUGGUGUCAUAAUACUGUAUUUAGGGAAUAGUUUUUUUUUUUUUUUUUCUUUUUAAUAAAGUGGAUAAAGAAGAAAAUGCUAAUAUACUUGCUCAACGAUAUGGUGCUUUCAUUUUAAACCUUCUUUAUUUUUUCCUCAAAGAUGACCCUAUUAUAAACAGCUUCAUUCUUUAUGAUGAUUCUUUAAUUCACACUUUUACAAGAAAGUAUGUACUAACUGAUGGCUUUUUAUUCUUUCAUUCUCUGUAGUUAUACAAGAGUACAUAAUCAGUCAAAAGAAUGAAAUUGUUAAAAUGUUUCCCCCCCAUUUCCCCAGGCUCUUUUUUUUAACUCUCAUAUUCUAGAUGAAAAAAGAAUCUGUUUUUGUUCUGGAAGUCAAACAGGAAUGCAGGACCUGUCAUUAUAACUAUUACAACCCUUAUUUUGCACUCAAAAUGUUUUCUACUUUUAGCUAUUCUUUUGAACUAUCUAUAUCAUAAAUUAUUGACUUCACUGGACAUCGAGUUAUUUCUAGUUGAAUUCAAGGUAUUCUUAAUUUUCCUACCUUACAUUUCACCAAUCCUUAUGUUUGCUUUGGUGACACACAUGCACCAAGCUAACUGUCACCCAGAGGAUAAUAUGGCCUCUGUCUGAGAAUGACUCUCAACAUUCCAUGUAUCAGGCCAUGUUUUUAGUGUCUCUCAGAUCAAUGAUAUACACUUGGAGGAUGGGGCUAAUGAAUUCAUGGAUGGUUUCAUUUUUGUUUAUUGCAACCACCACAAUAUUCAUAGUAGAAACUUGCAAUGUUUGUUAAAUUAAUGUGCUACCUGCUACAGUUAAAUAGUUAACUCCUCAGAGUUCCCA
Molecule: long non-coding RNA, 4429 nt
Filed under: Sus scrofa (pig)
Lineage: Eukaryota; Metazoa; Chordata; Mammalia; Artiodactyla; Suidae
Description: lncRNA (ENSSSCG00000061664.1)
Source: RNAcentral